UCCCUGGUGGCUCAGAGGUUAAAGCGUCUGCCUCCAAUGCAGGAGACCUGGGUUUGAUCCCUGGGUUGGGAA
Molecule: transfer RNA, 72 nt
Organism: Ovis aries (sheep)
Lineage: Eukaryota; Metazoa; Chordata; Mammalia; Artiodactyla; Bovidae
Rfam family: tRNA
About the family: Transfer RNA (tRNA) molecules are approximately 80 nucleotides in length. Their secondary structure includes four short double-helical elements and three loops (D, anti-codon, and T loops).
Source: Rfam